RNAcentral lists this ribosomal RNA (519 nucleotides) under uncultured Entrophospora. RNAcentral describes it as "SSU rRNA". It matches the Rfam family "Eukaryotic small subunit ribosomal RNA", at positions 569 to 1083 of the family's 1831-position model. The record is from RNAcentral. Lineage: Eukaryota; Fungi; Glomeromycota; Glomeromycetes; Entrophosporales; Entrophosporaceae.
AGCAGCCGCGGUAAUUCCAGCUCCAAUAGCGUAUAUUAAAGUUGUUGCAGUUAAAAAGCUCGUAGUUGAAUUUCGGGAUUGACACAUCGGUCGUGCCUUAAGGGGUAUGAACUGGUGUAGUCAAUUUCUCACCUUCUGGAGAACCGCGAUGCCCUUAAUUGGGUGUCGCGGGGAACCAGGACCUUUACUUUGAAAAAUUAGAGUGUUUAAAGCAGGCAUUUUGCUUGAAUACAUUAGCAUGGAAUAAUAAAAUAGGACGGCAUGAUUCUAUUUUGUUGGUUUCUAGGAUCACCGUAAUGAUUAAUAGGGAUAGUUGGGGGCAUUAGUAUUCAAUUGUCAGAGGUGAAAUUCUUGGAUUUAUUGAAGACUAACUACUGCGAAAGCAUUUGCCAAGGAUGUUUUCAUUAAUCAAGAACGAAAGUUAGGGGAUCGAAGACGAUCAGAUACCGUCGUAGUCUUAACCCAUAAACUAUGCCGACUAGGAAUCAGACGAUGUUAAUUUUUAAUGUACUCGUUUGG